AGACCCUACGGGGGGCAGCAGUGGGGAAUAUUGCACAAUGGGGGAAACCCUGAUGCAGCAACGCCGCGUGGGUGAAGGAGCGUUUCGGCGCGUAAAGCCCUGUCAGCGGGGAAGAAGAAAGACGGUACCCGACCAAGAAGCCCCGGCUAACUACGUGCCAGCAGCCGCGGUAAUACGUAGGGGGCAAGCGUUAUCCGGAUUUACUGGGUGUAAAGGGAGCGUAGACGGCUUGGCAAGCCAGAUGUGAAAGGCUGGGGCUCAACCCCAAGACUGCAUUUGGAACUGUCAUGCUAGAGUGUCGGAGA
This 305-nucleotide ribosomal RNA is filed under the name uncultured bacterium. RNAcentral describes it as "bacterial SSU rRNA". It matches the Rfam family "Bacterial small subunit ribosomal RNA", at positions 333 to 655 of the family's 1533-position model. The record is from RNAcentral.